CCUACUACCAGCCCCAGUUUCCUCCUCCCUGAGCGCACAGAAGGAAAUCUCUCCUCUCUGAGCAGGCUGCAGAGCCCAGAACUUUCCCGUCAUCGCCCAGAGGCUUUCCCACACCACUUGGCAGCCUGCAGACUGGUCUUCAUCCAAGUGCCAAAGGAGAACCCACAGUGCAAGCCAGGAAGACCAUGACAAUCAUCUGUGCUCUUCUCUCUGUGCCUAACAUUGUCAUCUCCCAUAUGCACCACUGGCCCACCUUUGAGAAAGAAUUCAAACUCCACUUCCUGGCCAGGCUGGUCUCGAACUCCUGACCUCAAACCCCACUUUCUUCAUGAGGCUUGCUAUGACCCCACCACACCCACCAGGCCAGACCACCAUCACCUCUCACUGGACCCUGCUACGACCACCUCCCUGAUCUUUCUGCCCUUGGGCUCGCUCCAUGGAGCCCCUUCUCCACACAGCAGCAGCCAGAGGCAGUUUCUGGAGCCCACAGCUGAAUGCGUUGUUCUCCUUGCUCAGGCAGAGAAGAGGACAGAUGGGGUUUUGGUCUCCUGUGUGUAGCCAGAGGGACUGCCUUGUCCUUCGCCAUCUCCAGUAGUUCCUGAGACCACAGCUGCUGAUGGCAAAUGCCCCCAGUCCCAGCCAUGCCCCAGCCCCCUGCAUUGAGAGACCCAGCUCCACCCAGAGGGCAGCUGCAGCCUCCUUCAUCCACAGCCACUGCUGUGACCAAGAGGGACAUUGUCCUGGAAGGCCAGUGGAGCCUUUCUGAGGCCUUCACAGGCCCAAUGUCCACCCUGGUCAUGACACGUA
Molecule: long non-coding RNA, 807 nt
Filed under: Homo sapiens (human)
Lineage: Eukaryota; Metazoa; Chordata; Mammalia; Primates; Hominidae
Description: non-protein coding lnc-MAP6-5:1
Source: RNAcentral